Molecule: ribosomal RNA, 426 nt
Filed under: uncultured bacterium
Lineage: Bacteria
Description: partial 16S ribosomal RNA
Rfam family: Bacterial small subunit ribosomal RNA
Source: RNAcentral
UGGGGAAUAUUGCACAAUGGGCGCAAGCCUGAUGCAGCCAUGCCGCGUGUAUGAAGAAGGCCUUCGGGUUGUAAAGUACUUUCAGCGGGGAGGAAGGUGUUGUGGUUAAUAACCACAGCAAUUGACGUUACCCGCAGAAGAAGCACCGGCUAACUCCGUGCCAGCAGCCGCGGUAAUACGGAGGGUGCAAGCGUUAAUCGGAAUUACUGGGCGUAAAGCGCACGCAGGCGGUCUGUCAAGUCGGAUGUGAAAUCCCCGGGCUCAACCUGGGAACUGCAUCCGAAACUGGCAGGCUUGAGUCUUGUAGAGGGGGGUAGAAUUCCAGUGUAGCGGUGAAAUGCGUAGAGAUCUGGAGGAAUACCGGUGGCGAAGGCGGCCCCCUGGACAAAGACUGACGCUCAGGUGCGAAAGCGUGGGGAGCAAACA